This is a long non-coding RNA of Salvelinus sp. IW2-2015, 492 nucleotides long. RefSeq lists it as uncharacterized. NCBI's taxonomy places the organism in Eukaryota, Metazoa, Chordata, Actinopteri, Salmoniformes, Salmonidae. The record is from RefSeq and is a predicted model, not a curated record.
GUCCCUGUGACUUCUUGACUGUUUGCAGGUUCAGUGUGAUAACAACCCGCUGGGUAAUGUUAGAGUGGUGGUCUACAUCCUGUGCACAUGUCCCAUAAACUAGACACCUCUUCAUGGAGAGAGGAGAUUAACGAUGAAGGGGAACCAAUGGAGAUCAACUGAAACACACUGGUGUGCCUUAUUUUAUCAUUUAAUACAAUGCCUGUUUUAUAUAUUUGGGGGGUUUUAAAAGGCAAUUCCACCAAAGUAAUGCAUGUCUAUUGACUGUUCAGUGAUGAGCAAAAUGGAAACUGAAGCAAAGAUCAUACACCAAGAUAUAACCUCUGUGGUUAAUGGUAAUAGUCAGAGAUUAGCAUGUCUUGGGGGUAUGAUCUUUGACCCUCUGUAACAUUCUCACUCAUCAUAAUUCAUAAUUCAUUCGGUAUUAUCCCUAAUCAUUGUAGCACCCACAUUGUCACUGUUUUUGAUGGUAAAAUAAAAAUUUCAGUCUGA